UACAGAGGGUGCAAGCGUUAUCCGGAUUUACUGGGUUUAAAGGGUGCGUAGGUGGGCAGGUAAGUCAGUGGUGAAAUCCCCGGGCUUAACCCGGGAACUGCCAUUGAUACUAUCUGUCUUGAAUAUCCUGGAGGUGAGCGGAAUAUGUCAUGUAGCGGUGAAAUGCUUAGAUAUGACAUAGAACACCCAUUGCGAAGGCAGCUCACUACGGGAUCAUUGACACUGAGGCACGAAAGCGUGGGGAUCAAACAGG
Molecule: ribosomal RNA, 253 nt
Filed under: uncultured bacterium
Lineage: Bacteria
Description: partial 16S ribosomal RNA
Rfam family: Bacterial small subunit ribosomal RNA
Source: RNAcentral